Mauremys reevesii (Reeves's turtle) is the source of this 77-nucleotide non-coding RNA. The record is from the annotation of a RefSeq genome assembly. NCBI's taxonomy places the organism in Eukaryota, Metazoa, Chordata, Testudines, Geoemydidae.
GCAUUGGUGGUAUAGUGGUAUAGUGAGCACAGCUGCUUUCUAAGCAGUUGACCUGGGUUCAAUUCCCAGCCAAUGCA